CACGAGACGCCUCCCCCGACCACUGAGGUUGCUUUCAUUUGAACAAAAGGAAGGUGCGAACCGAGCAUAUGAGGGACCCACUCAAGGAAGCAAUCAGCACAGCAGACCACCGAAGAAAGGAGGUGUUACUGACCAACUAUCUGAAGACAUGAGAAUGUGUGGGUGCACCCGAGGGGACGGAGAGAAGAGAGAGGAGGCGUCGUGGGAUCCGCAGGGUUAUUGCCCUCAAGUUGGACUACUGGUUGACAGCUGAUAGGAAUCACUCAUUAACUCAGACAAAUACCAAUAGCAUACUGUUAAUUAAUGAACUUAUUGCAGCAGCGUAUGUUUCUAUUUAAGGCUUAAAUCAUGUGCCACAAUAAUGUAGUCUAAUGUUAUUGAGUUAAAAUAUCUUAAUUUGGGGGCUUUCCUAGUAAAUAUUGAUUGAUAUGAAUGUGAUUGAAUCAGCAUAUAUACUUAUGCCACGGGCUGCCAUCCCUCAAAAUCUCCUGCCACUCUAUUACCACCCCAUAAAUAUUUUUUCUAGAUCCGCCCCUGCAUAGACCAAAUGAAAUAGUCAAAGAACACGUUAAUUUUUUUUUCUCUCAAAGAUGACUUCUCUAAUCACAUUUGUGUUCAAUUGUUCAUGUUUCUGAUAUGUUUGGUUGUAAUUCGCUUUUUGAUGCUAUAAAAUGGUUUGAAAUGUCACUAGAUAAGAUGCAUUUCCUGCGGAAGAUGCAUUUGAAUUCUGAUCAAUUACAGAUAAGCAUUGUGUUAACAAAAAAACGGAAAUAGAGGUUUUAUUGUUGGCAAUCCCUAACGUGUUGCGAUCUCUCUGUAGUAAGGAUGUCAUGUUAUUAAAUGCAGUGCAGCAGUGCAAAAUGAAUGAUUUUUGUAUUAAUUUGAAUGGCCAGCAACCUCUGACACCAGUUUUAGAAACAUAUACAACUUACAACAGAGCAAAUUACUGUAUGUGAAAGCAGCACAGUACCACAUUCAGCUAUGGACAGUUCAUUCAUGAAAUGUAGGCUAGUCUAUAUCAUGUCCUACAUUUGUGAUAAGCAACACAUAAAAUACUAUGAGGGGUUGUUAGGGACAUUAUCUAGAAUUACCUCUCAACUUGAGUGCCAUAUUGUGUGUUUUGGAUGGAAUUUGUUUUUAUCCUCUGUUCUGUGCAGCAAUACCCACUCUGUAGUGAUACUUUGGUGUGUAUGUGUAAACCUAACACUGCAUGACAUUUUAUUGUGGAUUUUUAUUGAUAUUGUGUGUAGUGCAUGCUUCUGCGGUGUUGGGGCUGCUGUCUCCCACAGGCCUCCCUGGUGGGACGUGUGUGCGGGUAGGCCCGACCUUCUUAAUUUGAGGAUUUCGAUUGCCAACAUCCAAACAAGUCACUGUUUUCUCAGGUUGCCUCAUGCCUCUGCUAUUUUGUUUUCAUAUUGAUUAUUUUUAAUAAACUUAAACUCAUUUUCAUAUAAACACACGCCUCUUUCCAAUUGUUCCUGCUUGGGGAAGUAAGAGUUGGUCACAAGACAUACUACUGCGGGUUUAAGGGCUCCUGCCCCUUAACAGAAGGUGGCGUUGUCGAG
Molecule: long non-coding RNA, 1565 nt
Organism: Scophthalmus maximus (turbot)
Lineage: Eukaryota; Metazoa; Chordata; Actinopteri; Pleuronectiformes; Scophthalmidae
Source: Ensembl